RNAcentral lists this transfer RNA (90 nucleotides) under Hyphomicrobiales bacterium. RNAcentral describes it as "tRNA-Ser". It matches the Rfam family "tRNA". Rfam says of the family: Transfer RNA (tRNA) molecules are approximately 80 nucleotides in length. Their secondary structure includes four short double-helical elements and three loops (D, anti-codon, and T loops). Further hydrogen bonds mediate the characteristic L-shaped molecular structure. tRNAs have two regions of fundamental functional importance: the anti-codon, which is responsible for specific mRNA codon recognition, and the 3' end, to which the tRNAs corresponding amino acid is attached (by aminoacyl-tRNA synthetases). tRNAs cope with the degeneracy of the genetic code in two manners: having more than one tRNA (with a specific anti-codon) for a particular amino acid; and 'wobble' base-pairing, i.e. permitting non-standard base-pairing at the 3rd anti-codon position. The record is from RNAcentral. Lineage: Bacteria; Pseudomonadati; Pseudomonadota; Alphaproteobacteria; Hyphomicrobiales.
GGAGAGGUGGCCGAGCGGUCGAAGGCGCACGCCUGGAACGCGUGUAUACGGGAAACCGUAUCAAGGGUUCGAAUCCCUUUCUCUCCGCCA